RNAcentral lists this non-coding RNA (71 nucleotides) under Streptococcus suis. RNAcentral's name for it is "partial 16S ribosomal RNA". It matches the Rfam family "Bacterial small subunit ribosomal RNA", at positions 1463 to 1533 of the family's 1533-position model. The record is from RNAcentral. Lineage: Bacteria; Bacillati; Bacillota; Bacilli; Lactobacillales; Streptococcaceae. RNAcentral also lists the same sequence under 19 other names.
UGGGAUAGAUGAUUGGGGUGAAGUCGUAACAAGGUAGCCGUAUCGGAAGGUGCGGCUGGAUCACCUCCUUU